CGCAAUCUGACACUCCAGAUGCUCAACUUUCCGGUCGAACUCCCCCACCCGUGGGAUUGUCGCUGUGGUUUGCGCCGGCUCACGGUGAUCUGGGGCUGACUCUGCCUCAGAAAGUUGGGGCCUCCGAUCGAAACCUUCUCCCGGUAAUUCCCUCCGAGGAGAAGCUCGUUCUCCGUUGUUGGCUCUAGAAGAGCCAUGCAAGUUUUGGCUUGGGAAAACCGGGCCGUUGGGGAGACACUCCGGCGGGGCCUGAGCCCGUGGGGGGAGCGUAGGCAAAGCUUCCUCGCGCCGCAAACUCUGAACGGCGGCGGCCAGGGCCUGGACUUGCUGUACCAAGGCAUCGAACUGUUCCGGUCCUCAACUUCAUGACUGCUACUCGGGCCCUUCCUCUAGCGCCAACUGUUGCUGGAAAUUGGACCCGGGGGCAGUCUUCGGUCGAGGAGAGGGAGCGGCGAUGAGUUCUCACGGCGGGGCGGCGGUCCGUCGGCGAGCGGCGUCCUCCGUCUGGGGCGGUCGGAGAGAAGGGGCGGCAGGUCCUCG
Molecule: long non-coding RNA, 540 nt
Filed under: Phoenix dactylifera (date palm)
Lineage: Eukaryota; Viridiplantae; Streptophyta; Magnoliopsida; Arecales; Arecaceae
Description: long non-coding RNA (PDAC_LNC018392)
Source: RNAcentral